AAACCAACUGGGAUUACCUUAGUAACGGCGAGUGAAGCGGUAAAAGCUCAAAUUUGAAAUCUGGUACUUUCAGUGCCCGAGUUGUAAUUUGUAGAAUUUGUCUUUGAUUAGGUCCUUGUCUAUGUUCCUUGGAACAGGACGUCAUAGAGGGUGAGAAUCCCGUUUGGCGAGGAUACCUUUUCUCUGUAAGACUUUUUCGAAGAGUCGAGUUGUUUGGGAAUGCAGCUCAAAGUGGGUGGUAAAUUCCAUCUAAAGCUAAAUAUUGGCGAGAGACCGAUAGCGAACAAGUACAGUGAUGGAAAGAUGAAAAGAACUUUGAAAAGAGAGUGAAAAAGUACGUGAAAUUGUUGAAAGGGAAGGGCAUUUGAUCAGACAUGGUGUUUUUUUAAUGUGCAAGUCUCUCGUGGACAUGUGCCUCUGGAAAUUAACACUGGGCCAACAUCAGUUCUGGCGGCAGGAUAAAUCAUUAAGAAUGUAGCUACCUCGGUAGUGUUAUAGCUUUUUGGAAUACUGCCAGCUGGGAUUGAGGACUGCGCUUCGGCAAGGAUGUUGGCAUAAUGGUUAAAUGCCGCCCGUCUU
Molecule: ribosomal RNA, 579 nt
Filed under: Hanseniaspora thailandica (nom. inval.)
Lineage: Eukaryota; Fungi; Ascomycota; Saccharomycetes; Saccharomycodales; Saccharomycodaceae
Description: eukaryotic LSU rRNA
Rfam family: Eukaryotic large subunit ribosomal RNA
Source: RNAcentral